UCCGUAGGCGGUUUAAUAAGUCAGUGGUGAAAGCCCAUCGCUCAACGAUGGAACGGCCAUUGAUACUGUUAGACUUGAAUUACAAGGAAGUAACUAGAAUAUGUAGUGUAGCGGUGAAAUGCUUAGAUAUUACAUGGAAUACCAAUUGCGAAGGCAGGUUACUACUUGUGGAUUGACGCUGAUGGACGAAAGCGUGGGGAGCGAACAGGAUUAGAUACCCCUGUA
Molecule: ribosomal RNA, 225 nt
Filed under: uncultured Flavobacterium sp.
Lineage: Bacteria; Pseudomonadati; Bacteroidota; Flavobacteriia; Flavobacteriales; Flavobacteriaceae
Description: partial 16S ribosomal RNA
Rfam family: Bacterial small subunit ribosomal RNA
Source: RNAcentral